Molecule: ribosomal RNA, 506 nt
Filed under: uncultured bacterium
Lineage: Bacteria
Description: partial 16S ribosomal RNA
Rfam family: Bacterial small subunit ribosomal RNA
Source: RNAcentral
AUUGAACGCUGGCGGCAGGCCUAACACAUGCAAGUCGAGCGGCAGCGGAAAGUAGCUUGCUACUUUGCCGGCGAGCGGCGGACGGGUGAGUAAUGUCUGGGAAACUGCCUGAUGGAGGGGGAUAACUACUGGAAACGGUAGCUAAUACCGCAUAAUGUCGCAAGACCAAAGAGGGGGACCUUCGGGCCUCUUGCCAUCAGAUGUGCCCAGAUGGGAUUAGCUAGUAGGUGGGGUAACGGCUCACCUAGGCGACGAUCCCCAGCUUGUCUGAGAGGAUGACCAGCCACACUGGACCUGAGACACGGUCCAGACUCCUACGGGAGGCAGCAGUGGGGAAUAUUGCACAAUGGGCGCAAGCCUGAUGCAGCCAUGCCGCGUGUAUGAAGAAGGCCUUCGGGUUGUAAAGUACUUUCAGCGGGGAGGAAGGUGCUGAGGUUAAUAACCUCAGCAAUUGACGUUACCCGCGGAAGAAGCACCGGCUAACUCCGUGCCAGCCGCCGCUGUAA